RNAcentral lists this ribosomal RNA (513 nucleotides) under uncultured bacterium. RNAcentral describes it as "partial 16S ribosomal RNA". It matches the Rfam family "Bacterial small subunit ribosomal RNA", at positions 30 to 523 of the family's 1533-position model. The record is from RNAcentral.
AUUGAACGCUGGCGGCAUGCCUAACACAUGCAAGUCGAACGGCAGCACAGUAAAGACUUCGGUCUUUAUGGGUGGCGAGUGGCGGACGGGUGAGUAACGCGUAGGAAUCUGUCCUGGAGGAUGGGAUAACACGAGGAAACUCGGGCUAAUACCGCAUGAUAUCGAGAGAUCAAAAGCAGGGGACCCUUCGGGGCCUUGCGCUCUAGGAUGAGCCUACGUCGGAUUAGCUAGUUGGUGGGGUAAAGGCCUACCAAGGCGACGAUCCGUAGCUGGUCUGAGAGGAUGACCAGCCACACUGGGACUGAGAAACGGCCCAGACUCCUACGGGAGGCAGCAGUGGGGAAUCUUGGACAAUGGGGGAAACCCUGAUCCAGCGAUGCCGCGUGUGUGAAGAAGGCCUUCGGGUUGUAAAGCACUUUAGUUGGGGAAGAAAAGUAAUAAGUAAAUUAUUUAUUGCUCUGACGAUACCCAAAGAAUAAACACCGGCUAACACUGUGCCAGCAGCCGCCGUAA